This 253-nucleotide ribosomal RNA is filed under the name uncultured bacterium. RNAcentral describes it as "partial 16S ribosomal RNA". It matches the Rfam family "Bacterial small subunit ribosomal RNA", at positions 524 to 776 of the family's 1533-position model. The record is from RNAcentral.
UACAGAGGUCUCAAGCGUUGUUCGGAUUCACUGGGCGUAAAGGGCUCGUAGGUGGCCAACUAAGUCAGACGUGAAAUCCCUCGGCUUAACCGGGGAACUGCGUCUGAUACUGGAUGGCUUGAGUUUGGGAGAGGGACGCGGAAUUCCAGGUGUAGCGGUGAAAUGCGUAGAUAUCUGGAGGAACACCGGUGGCGAAGGCGGCGUCCUGGACCAACACUGACACUGAUGAGCGAAAGCCAGGGGAGCAAACGGG